CCACUGCCCCAUUGCCUUCUGCAGUUGAAGCAGCUACACGUUUGGCUUUCUUCCGUAUCUUCUUCUUUUGGUUCCUGGUGAGGCCACUACUCGUUGAUGGUCCAGCAGGAGCCCUUGGAGGUGGCUCGAUGGCCCUUGCAGUAGGUGGCACCAGUGGCACACCUGACUUCCGGGGAUCGUUUGAUGGGUCAAUAGGUGGCACCAGUGGCACACCUGACUUCCGGGGAUCGUUUGACGGGUCAAUAGUGGACACGAGCAAUAUGUUCUCAGGCUUCAGGUCAGUGUGGAUAAUUGAAAGCUCGCGGUGGAGGUAGUCAAGGCCAAUGAGCACAUGCCGG
RNAcentral lists this long non-coding RNA (338 nucleotides) under Hordeum vulgare. RNAcentral describes it as "long non-coding RNA (HVUL_LNC012714)". The record is from RNAcentral. Lineage: Eukaryota; Viridiplantae; Streptophyta; Magnoliopsida; Poales; Poaceae.